RNAcentral lists this ribosomal RNA (239 nucleotides) under uncultured bacterium. Its description in RNAcentral is "partial 16S ribosomal RNA". It matches the Rfam family "Bacterial small subunit ribosomal RNA", at positions 118 to 353 of the family's 1533-position model. The record is from RNAcentral.
UGAGCAAUCUGCCCUUCUCUUCGGAAUAAGCGUUGGAAACGACGUCUAAUGCCGAAUACGACCUCCUUUCACAUGAUCGGAGGUGGAAAGCUCCGGCGGAGAAGGAUGAGCUCGCGGCCUAUCAGCUAGUUGGUGUGGGUAAUGGCCCACCAAGGCGACGACGGGUAGCCGGCCUGAGAGGGUGACCGGCCACACGUGGGACUGAGACACGGCCCAGACCUCCGUACGGGGAGGCAGCG